CAGCGCCACGAGUGGCAAUCACGAUUAUUUGGCCUAAAGCGUCCGUAGCCGGUUUAAUAAGUCUUUUGUGAAAUCGUUGGGCUCAACUUAACGCUGUGCAAGAGAGACUGUUAGACUUGGAACCGGGAAGGGUCAGAGGUAUUCUGGGGGGAGCGGUAAAAUGCUAUAAUCCCUAGAGGACUACCUGUGGCGAAGGCGUCUGACUAGAACGGCUUCGACGGUGAGGGACGAAAGCUGAGGGAGCAAUCCGGAUUAGAUACCCGCGUAGUCC
Molecule: ribosomal RNA, 271 nt
Filed under: uncultured archaeon
Lineage: Archaea
Description: partial 16S ribosomal RNA
Rfam family: Archaeal small subunit ribosomal RNA
Source: RNAcentral